GACCUCUCCGGUGGCCUAGUGGUUAGAGCGUCUACCUCGGAUGCUGGAGGUAGCGGGUUCGAAACCCAGCCGAGUCU
Non-coding RNA from Potamilus streckersoni, 77 nucleotides. The record is from the annotation of a GenBank genome assembly. NCBI's taxonomy places the organism in Eukaryota, Metazoa, Mollusca, Bivalvia, Unionida, Unionidae.